RNAcentral lists this ribosomal RNA (497 nucleotides) under uncultured bacterium. Its description in RNAcentral is "partial 16S ribosomal RNA". It matches the Rfam family "Bacterial small subunit ribosomal RNA", at positions 28 to 507 of the family's 1533-position model. The record is from RNAcentral.
GACGAACGCUGGCGGCGUGCCUAAUACAUGCAAGUUGAGCGAUGAAGAUUGGUGCUUGCACCAAUUUGAAGAGCAGCGAACGGGUGAGUAACGCGUGGGGAAUCUGCCUUUGAGCGGGGGACAACAUUUGGAAACGAAUGCUAAUACCGCAUAACAACUUUAAACAUAAGUUUUAAGUUUGAAAGAUGCAAUUGCAUCACUCAAAGAUGAUCCCGCGUUGUAUUAGCUAGUUGGUGAGGUAAAGGCUCACCAAGGCGAUGAUACAUAGCCGACCUGAGAGGGUGAUCGGCCACAGUGGGACUGAGACACGGCCCAAACUCCUACGGGAGGCAGCAGUAGGGAAUCUUCGGCAAUGGACGAAAGUCUGACCGAGCAACGCCGCGCGAGUGAAGAAGGUUUUCGGAUCGUAAAACUCUGUUGGUAGAGAAGAACGUUGGUGAGAGUGGAAAGCUCAUCAAGUGACGGUAACUACCCAGAAAGGGACGGCUAACUACGUG